GUAAUAGCUCAGUUGGUAGAGUGGCAGACUAAUAAUCAGCCAAAGAAAAAGUUGCGGUGGGUUCAAAUCCACCUAUGUU
This 79-nucleotide transfer RNA is filed under the name Chattonella subsalsa. The stretch from base 4 to 74 matches the Rfam family "tRNA", at positions 7 to 64 of the family's 71-position model. From Rfam's summary of the family: Transfer RNA (tRNA) molecules are approximately 80 nucleotides in length. The record is from RNAcentral. Lineage: Eukaryota; Raphidophyceae; Chattonellales; Chattonellaceae.